GUUAGAAGAAAGUUGCAACAAUCGGAGUGGCCCAAAUUCCCAGUGGUCCAACAUUUCCCACAUUCCAAAAAUUAAAGUAGAUGGAAGCAUAAUUCAGGACUUGCGUAAGUCUUUGUUUCUCCUUCCGUGUCUGAGUCACUUGCAAUUAUUUUGACAUGAAAAAAUGCAAAAUUAUUAGUCAAUUGCAUCUGUGCUAUAAUACUUGAACCAGAUUGUUGUUGCUCUUCUAAUUCUUCAAGUAAGGUAUAUCUAUAUUACUUGUAAGAUAUGAUUUAUUCAUGAAAAUUUAUGUUUUUUU
Molecule: long non-coding RNA, 298 nt
Filed under: Solanum tuberosum (potato)
Lineage: Eukaryota; Viridiplantae; Streptophyta; Magnoliopsida; Solanales; Solanaceae
Description: long non-coding RNA (STUB_LNC001023)
Source: RNAcentral